Molecule: RNA transcript, 719 nt
Organism: Oncorhynchus kisutch (coho salmon)
Lineage: Eukaryota; Metazoa; Chordata; Actinopteri; Salmoniformes; Salmonidae
Gene name: EKC/KEOPS complex subunit TPRKB-like
Exons: 4
Source: RefSeq, a predicted model, not a curated record
UUAUUUCAUAAUAUGUAUUAACAAUUUACAAGUUCAGCAUACAGAUUUUUUUGUCGAGUAAAACCGGAACCUUUUAGAUUAAUUGUGCUACUUUGUUUUUGUUCCCUCUAUUUAUUUUUUUAACCACGUGAGAUGGUCUAACAAAUGUUCGGCUCUUGUUUCAUCCACAAAGUUUUCUUCCGUUAUGUAUUCAACUCAAGAAUUGUAACUCUUUCCUGAUCGUACUGUAACUCAGUUGCUAUUCAAAGAUGUCAGAAACGCCGCAGAAUUUAGGAAAAAUGUAAUGGAAGGAAAGAUUAAUGGUGCCUUGAUAAACCCGUCUAUGAUUUCAGAGGCUUUCAAGAGGUUUGGGAUAUCAGACAGUGAUGGUGCUCUUCUCAUAGUUCUGGUCCAUCCCAAAGAGGAGACGCAGCACAUGAGUGACAUCAUUGCCAAGGUGGACGGACAACAGAUUCCAGUUGAAGAUGUCUCCAUGUUGACCGACCCUGCUAAGAUCAAAAAGGUAGGGCGGCAGGUAGCCUAGUGCGUUGGACUUGUAACCGAAAGGUUGCAAGAUCGAAUCCCCGAGCUGACAAGGAUGGCAACCAAAGAUGUCAUGUAGCUCAACAAGAAGACAUGGCAGUAAAUGGAAUGUUCUAUCAUUUGUUUUGUUGCACAAUGUCAUAAAACAAAUGUUUUCCUCCUUGAAUAUGUUAUUAAACAUGUGCAUUUUUAUUUUU